AUUUUGGAUCUGGCUAUCUAUCAAUAUCAUUUAUUAAUAUCAGAAUACAGCCCUUUAGACUAAUGUGAGGAGGGUUGUCCAGUGUUCCUCAGCUCCUUCUGGACAGGUACAUAAUGGGACACUUCACGUUUCCUCAGCCCCUUCUGGACAGGUACAUAAUGGGACACAUCACGUUUCCCAGCCCCUUCUGGACAGGUACAUAAUGGGACACUUCACGUUUCCUCAGCCCCUUCUGGACAGGUACAUAAUGGGACACUUCACGUUUCCUCAGCCCCUUCUGGACAGGUAAAUAAUGGGACUCGUCACAUUUCCUCAGCCCCUUCUGGAUAGGUAUAUAAUGGACAGUCCACUUUACAUCAAAUCCCCCAUGGAAAGGUACAGUCCACUUUAACCACCAACACCCCUUGUCCCCAUAACGUACAUGGGACAGUCUCACAUUUCUUCUGGAAUAAGACAUGAUAGUCAUCCACGCCAGUUCACCCAAUGGGAUUACAACAGAAUGACUUGUAUUCUACUGCACAUGUCUAUAGGACUGCCUUUCUGUUUAAAACAUCUAUGUAAUGCACACUGAGCUGCUGAUGGACUUAUUGAACAUGAUACAUGUACUUCUAUGUUCUAAUUCACUAUAUUAUGCUUUUAUUGAKACUUGAAGAAUGCUGAACAGGUCCGUUGAAGGGCACUUCAAUAUGCCACUAUUUCAACAACAUAAAAUAAACCUGUAUAUUGAYACAUGUUUACCUUCUCAUCGUAUCAAAUGUGACAAUAUUACAGUACAUUGCAGCACUUGCCACUUGUCAGGUCGCCAUUGUAAACAAUGAUUUGUCUCACCUGGAUAAUUAAAUGUUAGAUUAAACAAAUAAUACAUUGUUCCUCGCCAGUUUUGCAAACCAGUUGACAACUCUAUCCAAACAGCUUCUAUCCAAACAGUAAAUGUUGACAUGUAUUAAU
Molecule: non-coding RNA, 948 nt
Organism: Salvelinus sp. IW2-2015
Lineage: Eukaryota; Metazoa; Chordata; Actinopteri; Salmoniformes; Salmonidae
Source: RefSeq, a predicted model, not a curated record